Molecule: long non-coding RNA, 882 nt
Organism: Gadus macrocephalus (Pacific cod)
Lineage: Eukaryota; Metazoa; Chordata; Actinopteri; Gadiformes; Gadidae
Exons: 2
Source: RefSeq, a predicted model, not a curated record
CUGGACCCAGGAUGGCCUGGUGAUGAACUCCUGCGGUUGAAGUGUUUGUGUCAGCGUGUGCGCGUGAGAUUGUAUGUAUUGUGGUAAGAGGCAUGGCGUGUGUGUGUUAUAGUUUGUGUGCGUGUGCGUGUGUGUGUGUGUGUAGUAGGUAGGUAUGUGUGAGAUUAUGGUAAGAGGCACGAUGGUAUGUGUAUGUGUGUUUCUGAAAUGUUGUUGUUAAUUAUUAAUUACUGCUAUUGUUUUGGUAUUUAGUGUCAUACCUAUUUACCCGCCCAUUUAUUAUUGUAUUUCUUUAUUUCCUUUAUUUAUGAAUGUAUUCCAAUACUGUCCCUGUGGGUACGUCGGUAAGGCGGAUGUCUAUCUGUCAUCUACGAGAUGAAACCCAACAGAUCCAAUAAUAGCUCCACCCCCCCCCCCCCCCCCCGACCCAUGGAGAUGUAUUAAUAAUACAUUGGAUUUCGACAGCGCUUUUAUAUUAAUAUCAACUCCUGGUUACUGACGAAUAGCUAAACUUGAAAAAAACUUGAGGUAGCGCGUGGGUUACAGUACCGCCACCGGUGUGCGCACCUGAGAUGACAGUACAGGGAGGGUUGUAAGAGUUCUGCAGUAUUCCCCUCUGUCAGUAUUGGUUUGACCCAUUUCCCCCUCAAAAAUGGCUUGAAGUAAAUGAUCUCCACUUAGCCUAGCCUGUAGCUUAGCUGCCCAGAGGAAAUUGAUUGGUGUGUGUGUGUGUGUUUUUGCACACACACACACACACACACACACACACACACACACACACACACACACACACACACACACACACACACACGCGCAUACACAUGCACACACAAUCACAGACAUGUACUCACAAACCAAGACAGACACAUACACACAAACACA